ACUCCUACGGGAGGCAGCAGUGGGGAAUCUUGGACAAUGGGGCGAACCCUCGAUCCAGCCAUGCCGCGUGAGUGAUGAAGGCCUUAGGGUCGUAAAGCUCUUUCGCCUGUGAUGAUAAUGACAGUAGCAGGUAAAGAAACCCGCGUAUCAUCCGUGCCAGCAGCCGCGGUAAUACGGAGGGGGUUAGCGUUGUUCGGAAUUACUGGGCGUAAAGCGCGCGUAGCGGAUUAGUCAGUUAGAGGUGAAAUCCCAGGGCUCAACCUGGAACUGCCUUUAAUACUGCUAGUCUUGAGUUCGAGAGAGGUGAGUGGAAUUCCGAGUGUAGAGGUGAAAUUCGUAGAUAUUCGGAGGAACACCAGUGGCGAAGGCGGCUCACUGGCUCGAUACUGACGCUGAGGUGCGAAAGUGUGGGGAGCAAACAGGAUUAGAUACCCUGGUAGGCUCUGCU
This 448-nucleotide ribosomal RNA is filed under the name uncultured bacterium. RNAcentral describes it as "bacterial SSU rRNA". It matches the Rfam family "Bacterial small subunit ribosomal RNA", at positions 335 to 801 of the family's 1533-position model. The record is from RNAcentral.